This 301-nucleotide ribosomal RNA is filed under the name uncultured bacterium. RNAcentral describes it as "partial 16S ribosomal RNA". It matches the Rfam family "Bacterial small subunit ribosomal RNA", at positions 509 to 809 of the family's 1533-position model. The record is from RNAcentral.
CAGCCGCCGCGGUAAUACGUAGGUGGCAAGCGUUGUCCGGAAUUAUUGGGCGUAAAGGGCUCGCAGGCGGUUUCUUAAGUCUGAUGUGAAAGCCCCCGGCUCAACCGGGGAGGGUCAUUGGAAACUGGGAAACUUGGGUGCAGAAGAGGAGAGUGGAAUUCCACGUGUAGCGGUGAAAUGCGUAGAGAUGUGGAGGAACACCAGUGGCGAAGGCGACUCUCUGGUCUGUAACUGACGCUGAGGAGCGAAAGCGUGGGGAGCGAACAGGAUUAGAUACCCCCGUAGUCCCUGUCUCUUAUAA